GGAGUCGCCAUAGUUACACAUUCAGGAAAUGGUAAAUUUAUUGACAGCAUGCCCACUGCUAGGCCUACGACGACGUCUAGAACUGUUUUUACAGUAAUUUCGCCGUCUGUAACCGAGGGGAAAACAGUGCACACACAACACAGUAAGCUAGGACAUCGAUAUCUAGCAACCUUUGCUGUUCUAUUUUGACAUCCGAGGGGAAGGAAAACGGUCCAACUGGUUGCUAGCUUGGUGGUUAGCUAGCUACCGCUAACUAUACAAUCAGCGCUUUGCUGCAGCCACACAGACGGGGCUAGUUCGCUGUCCAAGGUGCUGAAGUUGAUCAUAUUUGCGUUGCAGCCAUAAACCAAGGAGUAGCUAAUAAUAUGAGCGUAAACACCGUGCCCUGUACCGUGAAGCCUACUGUCACCUUGCAGAUUGGAGAUGCUGAGACUGAUUCCUCUCGUCCCGGUGUCUAUGUCAUAGACGUUACACUUCCUAUAGGACAGACUGUCAACAUCCAGGAGAUCUCCUUUAAGAACUACUACACAGCAUACGUGUCUGUGCGUCUACUGAGGAGAGAUGGGGAGGGGGCUGCUAAAUGGGUCACGUGUCUGAGGAACCACUGUCUGAUGCCCAGCCCACAUACUGAAGAGGGUUCACAAGACUACUGCUCUGUCUACCGUCAACAGAUAAAGCAUCACAGCUCAGGUUUGCUUAGUUUUUGAUGCUGAUUGAACCAGACAAUGUGACUUCAGUGAGACUGAUCCUACGACAGCCGUCAUCAGCCUGGCUGAAUUUCAGCGUGGAGGACAUCAAAAUACACCCCUGUUUAAACGAGGAUUCAGAGUGGGACAUUCCUGAUUGGUUGUCAGACCUCACACAGGUGGACCAACUGUGUGAUUUACAGGGUCUUCCAGAUCCUCAGACGGUAUCUUGCAGUAUUCAGCAGAUGUGGGCGUUAACAGAAGUCAUGCAGACCAACCAGACCACUGCUUCCAUAGGCCGCUUUGAUGUUGAUGGCUGCUACGAUAUCAACUUGUUGUCCUUCACUUAACAAGGAAUUGACUGGAGGUUCAUUUUACAUGGUGUUGAUCAAAUGUGAAGAUCACCAUUGUUAUCUCUCCCAAAGUGUAUUUGAUUCAUUUUCCGACUUUGUUAUAUUUAAGCUUUCUGAAAAUAAUGUACAUUUAUUUGUGAAACACUGUCAACUUUUAAUUUUUUUAACACCUAGGCCACCUUUGCCACUCAUGAUGGUACCUUUGUUUAUUAUACAAGUCCAAUAGAAGUGAGAUGCAUGGUGGCCUUCAGCCAGAUGAGGACAGUAGUGCUUCUUGAAUGAGACCAAGGAGCCACUGUUAACUAACUAUCUGAGAUGUGGAUAUAUCAUACUGGCUGGGGUUCUGAGUGGUUUGCAGUCUCCAAUUCUCUUUUUUCGAUAAAAAAAUACAUUUUAAAAAGUGACCUUUUAAUUUAACUAGGCAAGUCAGUUAUUCUUAUUUACAAUGACGGCCAACCCCGGCCAAACCCUAACCGGUUGUGAUACAGCCAGGAAUCUAACCAGGGUCUGUAGUGACGCCUCUAGCACUGAGAUACAGUCCCUUAGACCGCUGCGCCACUCUGGAGGAUAGGAUACAGCAUGCUGGCUGGGGUUCUGUCUACAAUUCUCUUAUUGUAUGUAAGUUAUUCAUGAAUAAUUAUGCAUGUCUAAUUUCCCUUCAAUGCAAACAAUUUACAUCAACGUUGUACUGAUGAAAGAAGUGAAGGAACCGUUAUGGUAUGUAUUAGUUGCUUUAUAAGAUGACAUCAUACAUGCUCAUAUAGCAAGUCAUUCAUUCAACACAUAGGCUCUGUUAUUAUAUCCCAAUGAUAUUCCUGUAUCCUGCAAGCAACCAACUGUUAGAGCGUUAGGUCGGUCUUUUACGGAACUAAUUAAAUAAAUGUCAAUUCCAAAAAGCAAA
Molecule: RNA transcript, 1940 nt
Organism: Oncorhynchus kisutch (coho salmon)
Lineage: Eukaryota; Metazoa; Chordata; Actinopteri; Salmoniformes; Salmonidae
Gene: nicn1
Gene name: nicolin 1
Exons: 9
Source: RefSeq, a predicted model, not a curated record